AUUGAACGCUGGGGGCAGGCCUAACACAUGCAAGUCGAGCGGUAGAGAGAAGCUUGCUUCUCUAGAGAGCGGCGGACGGGUGAGUAAUGCCUAGGAAUCUGCCUGGUAGUGGGGGAUAACGUUCGGCAACGGACGCUAAUACCGCAUACGUCCUACGGGAGAAAGCAGGGGACCUUCGGGCCUUGCGCUAUCAGAUGAGCCUAGGUCGGAUUAGCUAGUUGGUGGGGUAAUGGCUCACCAAGGCGACGAUCCGUAACUGGUCUGAGAGGAUGAUCAGUCACACUGGAACUGAGACACGGUCCAGACUCCUACGGGAGGCAGCAGUGGGGAAUAUUGGACAAUGGGCGAAAGCCUGAUCCAGCCAUGCCGCGUGUGUGAAGAAGGUCUUCGGAUUGUAAAGCACUUUAAGUUGGGAGGAAGGGCAGUUACCUAAUACGUGAUUGUUUUGACGUUACCGACAGAAUAAGCACCGGCUAACUCUGUGCCAGCAGCCGCGGUAAUACAGAGGGUGCAAGCGUUAAUCGGAAUUACUGGGCGUAAAGCGCGCGUAGGUGGUUUGUUAAGUUGGAUGUGAAAUCCCCGGGCUCAACCUGGGAACUGCAUUCAAAACUGACUGACUAGAGUAUGGUAGAGGGUGGUGGAAUUUCCUGU
This 651-nucleotide ribosomal RNA is filed under the name uncultured Pseudomonas sp. RNAcentral's name for it is "bacterial SSU rRNA". It matches the Rfam family "Bacterial small subunit ribosomal RNA", at positions 28 to 674 of the family's 1533-position model. The record is from RNAcentral. Lineage: Bacteria; Pseudomonadati; Pseudomonadota; Gammaproteobacteria; Pseudomonadales; Pseudomonadaceae.